AUUGAACGCUGGCGGCAUGCCUUACACAUGCAAGUCGAACGGCAGCACGGGAGCAAUCCUGGUGGCGAGUGGCGAACGGGUGAGUAAUAUAUCGGAACGUGCCCAGUGAUGGGGGAUAGCCCGGCGAAAGCCGGAUUAAUACCGCAUACGACCUACGGGUGAAAGCAGGGGGUCGCAAGACCUUGCGUCAUUGGAGCGGCCGAUAUCAGAUUAGCUUGNGGUGGGGUAAAGCCUACCAAGGCGACGAUCUGUAGCUGGUCUGAGAGGACGACCAGCCACACUGGGACUGAGACACGGCCCAGACUCCUACGGGAGGCAGCAGUGGGGAAUUUUGGACAAUGGGCGCAAGCCUGAUCCAGCCAUGCCGCGUGCGGGAAGAAGGCCUCGG
RNAcentral lists this ribosomal RNA (388 nucleotides) under uncultured bacterium. RNAcentral describes it as "bacterial SSU rRNA". It matches the Rfam family "Bacterial small subunit ribosomal RNA", at positions 29 to 420 of the family's 1533-position model. The record is from RNAcentral.